RNAcentral lists this long non-coding RNA (203 nucleotides) under Cicer arietinum (chickpea). RNAcentral describes it as "long non-coding RNA (CARI_LNC003672)". The record is from RNAcentral. Lineage: Eukaryota; Viridiplantae; Streptophyta; Magnoliopsida; Fabales; Fabaceae.
GCAAAAUCUUCAAAGGUCAUUGAUAACCUUUUACCUUUAAUCUGAGUCUUGAAUCCCUUAUCAGUAAGCUUGAAGUUUGCGUAAAACUCCCUUAUCAGUUUUGGAUAACUGUCCAAAGUAGAUGAAAGAAAACCUUCAAGACCAUGAAAUCUCAAAUGAUCUUGGAAUGUGAAGCCUUCUGUAUCGAAGUAGGCAAAAUCCAG